UUGGUUGUACUGGUGUAAGAGUGUAGGCCGUGACAUAGGCAAAUCCGUGUCACAUUAAGGCUGAGACUUGAUGCAUACCCGUUGUGGGGAAUUCAGUGAUCCUAUGCUGCCGAGAAAAGCCUCUAGUGAGUUCAUACACGGCCCGUACCCCAAACCGACACAGGUGAUCAGGUAGAGAAUACCAAGGCGAUCGAGAGAACUGUGGUUAAGGAACUCGGCAAAAUGCCCCCGUAACUUCGGGAGAAGGGGGACCAUGCCCGGUGAACAUCUUCACGGUGGGAGCUGGGUGUGGUCGCAGAGACCAGAGAGAAGCGACUGUUUACUAAAAACACAGGUCCGUGCGAAGACGUAAGUCGAUGUAUACGGACUGACGCCUGCCCGGUGCUGGAAGGUUAAGAGGACCGGUUAGCCGUAAGGCGAAGCUGAGAAUUUAAGCCCCAGUAAACGGCGGUGGUAACUAUAACCAUCCUAAGGUAGCGAAAUUCCUUGUCGGGUAAGUUCCGACCUGCACGAAUGGCGUAACGACUUCUCUGCUGUCUCGACCACAGACUCGGCGAAAUUGCACUACGAGUAAAGAUGCUCGUUACGCGCGGCAGGACGAAAAGACCCCGGGACCUUUACUAUAGCUUGGUAUUGGCGUUCGAUUCGGUUUGUGUAGGAUAGGUGGGAGACUGUGAAGCAUGCACGCCAGUGUGUGUGGAGUCGUUGUUGAAAUACCACUCUGAUCGUAUUGGACGUCUAACCUCGGCCCAUGAUCUGGGUUAGGGACAGUGCCUGGUGGGUAGUUUAACUGGGGCGGUUGCCUCCUAAAGAGUAACGGAGGCGCCCAAAGGUUCCCUCAGCCUGGAUGGCAAUCAGGUGUUGAGUGCAAGUGCACAAGGGAGCUUGACUGUGAGACUGACACAUCGAGCAGGGACGAAAGUCGGGACUAGUGAUCCGGCACCGGCAAGUGGAAGCGGUGUCGCUCAACGGAUAAAAGGUACCCCGGGGAUAACAGGCUGAUCUUCCCCAAGAGUCCAUAUCGACGGGAUGGUUUGGCACCUCGAUGUCGGCUCGUCGCAUCCUGGGGCUGGAGUAGGUCCCAAGGGUUGGGCUGUUCGCCCAUUAAAGCGGCACGCGAGCUGGGUUUAGAACGUCGUGAGACAGUUCGGUCUCUAUCCGCCGCGCGCGUAAGGAACUUGAGGAAGGCUGUCCCUAGUACGAGAGGACCGGGACGGACGAACCUCUGGUGUGCCAGUUGUUCCACCAGGAGCAUGGCUGGUUAGCUACGUUCGGAAGGGGUAACCGCUGAAAGCAUCUAAGCGGGAAGCCUGUUCCAAGAUGAGGUUUCUCACCACCUUGCGUGGUUAAGGCCCCCUACAGACCAUGGGGUUGAUAGGCCGGAACUGGAAGCGCAGCAAUGCGUGGAGGUGACCGGUACUAAUAGGCCGAGGGCUUAC
This 1439-nucleotide ribosomal RNA is filed under the name metagenome. Its description in RNAcentral is "bacterial LSU rRNA". It matches the Rfam family "Bacterial large subunit ribosomal RNA", at positions 1498 to 2925 of the family's 2925-position model. The record is from RNAcentral.